UACGUAGGGUGCAGGCGUUAAUCGGAAUUACUGGGCGUAAAGCGUGCGCAGGCGGUUUGCUAAGACAGGUGUGAAAUCCCCGGGCUUAACCUGGGAAUGGCAUUUGGGACUGCAAGGCUGGAGUGCGGCAGAGGAGACUGGAAUUCCUGGUGUAGCAGUGAAAUGCGUAGAUAUCAGGAGGAACACCGAUGGCGAAGGCAGGUCUCUGGGCUGACACUGACGCUCAUGCACGAAAGCGUGGGGAGCAAACAGG
This 253-nucleotide ribosomal RNA is filed under the name uncultured bacterium. Its description in RNAcentral is "partial 16S ribosomal RNA". It matches the Rfam family "Bacterial small subunit ribosomal RNA", at positions 524 to 776 of the family's 1533-position model. The record is from RNAcentral.